Molecule: ribosomal RNA, 2891 nt
Filed under: Acinetobacter baumannii NIPH 60
Lineage: Bacteria; Pseudomonadati; Pseudomonadota; Gammaproteobacteria; Moraxellales; Moraxellaceae
Description: bacterial LSU rRNA
Rfam family: Bacterial large subunit ribosomal RNA
Source: RNAcentral
UCAAGUAAUUAAGUGCAUGUGGUGGAUGCCUUGGCAGUCAGAGGCGAUGAAAGACGUGAUAGCCUGCGAAAAGCUCCGGGGAGGCGGCAAAUAUCCUUUGAUCCGGAGAUGUCUGAAUGGGGGAACCCACCUACUUUAAGGUAGGUAUUGCAACAUGAAUACAUAGUGUUGCAAGGCGAACGAGGGGAAGUGAAACAUCUCAGUACCCUUAGGAAAAGAAAUCAAUUGAGAUUCCCUCAGUAGCGGCGAGCGAACGGGGAUCAGCCCAUUAAGUUAUGUGUGUUUUAGUGGAACGCUCUGGGAAGUGCGAACGUAGAGGGUGAUAUUCCCGUACACGAAAGGGCACACAUAAUGAUGACGAGUAGGGCGAGGCACGUGAAACCUUGUCUGAAUAUGGGGGGACCAUCCUCCAAGGCUAAAUACUCCUGACUGACCGAUAGUGAACCAGUACCGUGAGGGAAAGGCGAAAAGAACCCCUGUGAGGGGAGUGAAAUAGAUCCUGAAACCGCAUGCAUACAAGCAGUGGGAGCACCUUCGUGGUGUGACUGCGUACCUUUUGUAUAAUGGGUCAGCGACUUAUAUUCAGUAGCGAGGUUAACCGUAUAGGGGAGCCGUAGAGAAAUCGAGUCUUAAUAGGGCGUUUAGUUGCUGGGUAUAGACCCGAAACCAGGCGAUCUAUCCAUGAGCAGGUUGAAGGUUGGGUAACACUAACUGGAGGACCGAACCCACUGUCGUUGAAAAGCCAGGGGAUGACUUGUGGAUAGGGGUGAAAGGCUAAUCAAGCCUGGUGAUAGCUGGUUCUCCCCGAAAGCUAUUUAGGUAGCGCCUCGGACGAAUACCAUAGGGGGUAGAGCACUGUUUCGGCUAGGGGGUCAUCCCGACUUACCAAACCGAUGCAAACUCCGAAUACCUAUGAGUACUAUCCGGGAGACAGACUGCGGGUGCUAACGUCCGUAGUCAAGAGGAAAACAAUCCAGACCGCCAGCUAAGGCCCCAAAAUCAUAGUUAAGUGGGAAACGAUGUGGGAAGGCAUAGACAGCUAGGAGGUUGGCUUAGAAGCAGCCACCCUUUAAAGAAAGCGUAAUAGCUCACUAGUCGAGUCGGCCUGCGCGGAAGAUGUAACGGGGCUAAAACUAUGUGCCGAAGCUGCGGAUGUAUACUUUGUAUACGUGGUAGGGGAGCGUUCUGUAAGCCGAUGAAGGUGUGUUGAGAAGCAUGCUGGAGGUAUCAGAAGUGCGAAUGCUGACGUGAGUAACGACAAAACGGGUGAAAAACCCGUUCGCCGAAAGACCAAGGGUUCCAGUCCAACGUUAAUCGGGGCUGGGUGAGUCGACCCCUAAGGCGAGGCCGAAAGGCGUAGUCGAUGGGAAAAUGGUUAAUAUUCCAUUACUUCUGUGUAAUGCGAUGAGAGGACGGAGAAGGCUAAAUCAGCCUGGCGUUGGUUGUCCAGGUGAAAGGAUGUAGGCAUGUAUCUUAGGCAAAUCCGGGGUACUCUAUGCUGAGAUCUGAUAGCAAGCUGUACUUGUACAGCGAAGUGGUUGAUGCCAUGCUUCCAGGAAAAGUCUCUAAGCUUCAGUUACACAGGAAUCGUACCCGAAACCGACACAGGUGGUCAGGUCGAGUAGACCAAGGCGCUUGAGAGAACUCUGCUGAAGGAACUAGGCAAAAUGGUACCGUAACUUCGGGAGAAGGUACGCUGUUGUUGGUGAUGGAACUCGCUUCCUGAGCUGACGACAGCCGCAGAAACCAGGCCGCUGCAACUGUUUAUUAAAAACAUAGCACUCUGCAAACACGAAAGUGGACGUAUAGGGUGUGAUGCCUGCCCGGUGCUGGAAGGUUAAUUGAUGGGGUUAGCGUAAGCGAAGCUCUUGAUCGAAGCCCCAGUAAACGGCGGCCGUAACUAUAACGGUCCUAAGGUAGCGAAAUUCCUUGUCGGGUAAGUUCCGACCUGCACGAAUGGCAUAAUGAUGGCGGCGCUGUCUCCAGCAGAGGCUCAGUGAAAUCGAAAUCGCUGUGAAGAUGCAGUGUACCCGCGGCUAGACGGAAAGACCCCGUGAACCUUUACUGCAGCUUGACACUGAACUUUGACCUUACUUGUGUAGGAUAGGUGGGAGGCUUUGAAGCUGGAACGCUAGUUCCAGUGGAGCCGUCCUUGAAAUACCACCCUGGUAAUGUUGAGGUUCUAACUCUGUCCCGUGAUCCGGGACGAGGACCGUGUCUGGUGGGUAGUUUGACUGGGGCGGUCUCCUCCUAAAGAGUAACGGAGGAGUACGAAGGUGCGCUCAGCGUGGUCGGAAAUCACGCGUAGAGUAUAAAGGCAAAAGCGCGCUUAACUGCGAGACCCACAAGUCGAGCAGGUACGAAAGUAGGUCUUAGUGAUCCGGUGGUUCUGUAUGGAAGGGCCAUCGCUCAACGGAUAAAAGGUACUCUGGGGAUAACAGGCUGAUACCGCCCAAGAGUUCAUAUCGACGGCGGUGUUUGGCACCUCGAUGUCGGCUCAUCUCAUCCUGGGGCUGAAGCAGGUCCCAAGGGUAUGGCUGUUCGCCAUUUAAAGAGGUACGCGAGCUGGGUUUAGAACGUCGUGAGACAGUUCGGUCCCUAUCUACCGUGGGCGCUGGAAAUUUGAGAGGAUCUGCUCCUAGUACGAGAGGACCAGAGUGGACGAACCUCUGGUGUACCGGUUGUGACGCCAGUCGCAUCGCCGGGUAGCUAUGUUCGGAAGGGAUAACCGCUGAAAGCAUCUAAGCGGGAAGCCUACCUCAAGAUAAGAUUUCCCUAGGACUUUAUGUCCUCUAAAGAGCCGUUCGAGACUAGGACGUUGAUAGGUUGGAUGUGGAGGCAUAGUGAUAUGUGAAGCUGACCAAUACUAAUUGCUCGUGAGGCUUGACUAU